Molecule: transfer RNA, 83 nt
Filed under: Lodderomyces elongisporus NRRL YB-4239
Lineage: Eukaryota; Fungi; Ascomycota; Pichiomycetes; Serinales; Debaryomycetaceae
Description: tRNA-Leu (CAG) (tRNA-Leu-CAG-1-1)
Rfam family: tRNA
About the family: Transfer RNA (tRNA) molecules are approximately 80 nucleotides in length.
Source: RNAcentral
GAUGAUGUGGCUGAGUGGUUUAAAGCGUCGGGUGCAGGUCCCGAUGGGCAUUGCCCGCGCAGGUUCGAACCCUGUCAUCAUCG